GUGGAAAAUGCGCUCGGGCUGGAC
RNAcentral lists this non-coding RNA (24 nucleotides) under Cricetulus griseus (Chinese hamster). The record is from RNAcentral. Lineage: Eukaryota; Metazoa; Chordata; Mammalia; Rodentia; Cricetidae.